UUCUCGUACGAUCACCGAAGUUAAGCAACGUGGAGCCUUCUCCGUACUUACAUGGGUGACCGCUUGGCAAUAUCAGGUGCUGUAA
This is a non-coding RNA of Acanthosepion pharaonis, 85 nucleotides long. NCBI's taxonomy places the organism in Eukaryota, Metazoa, Mollusca, Cephalopoda, Sepiida, Sepiidae. The record is from the annotation of a GenBank genome assembly.